CAGGAGCAGCGAGGAGGCCCCGUUGCCCGUGAGGGCCAGCCCCACGGCCAAGACUCGACGGCGGGAGAAGUAACGGGACAGGGUCCCAAGGGCCGGGGCGAACACCAGGGCCCAGCCAGAGCCUGCGGACGGACAGGACCGGCAAGGACGCCCAGGCCAAGGUAGAGGUGCAGCAGACUGCGGGCGAAUGCCGAGAAGACGAAGCCCAGCGAGGACUCGGGCGCCCUUUUCCAGGUUGUCUGAUCAUCAGCCCCCGCGGAGGGAGCGGCGAGAAUGAAGGCGGCCCCGCCCGGCUCAAGCCCACGCACCUGCCGCCCGCCGCUCUCGGAGGAGAGGCGUGGAUUGCGAUCCCCAGCAAACCCAGGGCCCCUAGGCAACACUUGGAAAUAGGAGUGAUCCCCCAAGGCCUGCCGCGAUGAGUACUUUUGUUCUCUGGGAACUUUGCUGGGGGACCAGGCAAUUCUCGUACAUCAAAUCACUGACCUCCACUGAGUGGUUGUUCCUUGCUCAACAAUAGCAGGCCCUCAAGAGCGGAGCGGAGAAAGAGGACUCCCUCGUUAGGAGGAGCUGUGAUGUGCCAGGCACUCGACCCAUGCCACCUGCCCACAAGAAACCGCUGAAGAAGGUGUCAUGCCCUUUUUUUUACAGAUGAAGUCACUGGAGAGUAGAGGGGUUAGGUGCCUUGUCCCCAAAGCACCCAGCUUAAAGAUGGUGGAAAUGUUUGAAUUUGGAUCUGUCCAGCUGCAGAAGCUACAGGGAGAAGCGACCUGAGACUGACAUAGACUACACCCCAGUGGGGGCACUGGCCGGGGUCCAGUUUGAGCCUCACUGACCUGCAAGGGUCCCUGGGAUCAGAACCGCCAAAGACUUAGAUCUGGAGUUUUAAUCCGAGAAUUGAACCCCGGCACUGAUUUCUUGGAAAAUUUGAUUUAAAAGGAUCCUUUCCACAUUAGUACCAUUGCUUCACUUGAGCUAUUUGAAUCAAGAGAUGUGUUCUUUGGUUUAACGAUUACACAAUAUCAGAAAAUUUGGCCCUGUACAGCGUGGAGCCGGUGUCAACCCAGAGCCACACGGUGGCAGUGUUUCCUAGUCGUUGAGAAAGUAUCUACAAAUCCGAGGAAAACAACCCCAUUUCUCUACUUUGGAUAUCAGGCCUUUCACCAGGGAAGGAACCCUCCCUCCCCAUUCCAUCUCCCUCCCCUCUGUCCUGCGCCCUUCCGUGGGCGUCAGCCAAAAGCGCCUCACCUGCUCCAAGGGCGUGCCUAGCUUUUUCUCACUCCUGAAUUUGUGCAUCUGCUGUCCCCUCUCCUUGAAAUGUCCUGGAUGGGGAACAGGCGUCCUUGAAGGUGGACAGUCCUGCCACGGACACCCUAGUAAGGUGGUCUCACUGGUUUCCCCACCCUGGGCUGCUGUUGUGGGAGACAGCUGGCAGGUGAAGCCCAGCAGAUCCUCAGCCACUGGGGGUAGAACAGGAAGCCUACUUCGGGAACUGGCUGCUGAGGACUCUGAGGCAAGCAGAGCCCUGCCCCCCAACCUGAAACAAAUCACACCCUCUCCACGGUGGAGUAACAUGCUUCAUGCAGCCAAAGAGGAGACUGGGCCCCCUGGGUCUGGGAAUUGGACAAAGCGAUGCUGAGCACCUUUAGAGGAUACUUAUGAACCCACAGUCUUCUGUCCCAGGCUCUGGGACCGGGGUGAUUGGUCAUCAAAGGGCACGGUCCUCUUCUACAUCAUGUUCUGUAUAUUCAUAGCCAAAAGGACCAUCACUAUACAUCUUUUGCUCAUGGAGUUAACACAGCAUUGAGGCUGGGAGAAUGGACGCCCAAGCUAGACUCUGGGUUUGACUCCCAGCUCUACCACUUAUCCGCUGUAGGACUGUGAGCAAGUUACACGCCUCAGCUUCCUCAUCUCUACAAUGGGGCUCAUAAUAGUAGCCACCUGGUAGGGUUGGUAUGAGGAUGCAGUGAGUCGCUGUGUAGACACACGUGUGAGUACGGGACCUAGCGCAGUGCCUGCAAUGUGAUGUGUGUCGGCCCCUUUGCUGCAGUUGUUGGAGGACCCUGGCUAGACCCUCCAGUGCCGCCGCCCUCUCCCCACCUGGCCACUUCUAUUACUGCCUCGAUGGCAAAGAACCCCAUGGGUCUGGUGAGUUCUCGGCAGAACUACACGGGUUAUGGGGCGCCUGGGUGGCUCAGUUGUUAGACGUCUGCCUUCGGCUCAGGUCAUGGUCCCAGGGUCCUGGGAUCGAGCCCCGCAUCGGGCUCCCUGCUCCGCGGGAAGCCUGCUUCUC
Zalophus californianus (California sea lion) is the source of this 2290-nucleotide long non-coding RNA. RefSeq lists it as uncharacterized. The transcript is spliced from 4 exons. NCBI's taxonomy places the organism in Eukaryota, Metazoa, Chordata, Mammalia, Carnivora, Otariidae. The record is from RefSeq and is a predicted model, not a curated record.